UCCACGACCUUCCUGGUGCAUUUUUGGGUUCAUGCCCAUCUCUGAUUGAGACUUUUAUAUAUCACUGCCUCUAUCAUUAAGUCAAUUACAGGUGGGUCCACAAGUAAAGAAUGGUUUCCAAUCCAGUGAACCCUGGAUAUAAUCAAGCUCCGAUGAGGUGCUUUGUUUCUUCUUUCUAGAACAUCACGACUUGUUGAGCAGCAAGGAACCAAAGAUUUCUGCCAGCACAUGUACUGAAUGGGGAAUAUGAACUCCCUCGGCUGAACUCCAAAUAAAUCACUGAGACUGAUAAAUAGGUGCACUCCUAGAUUUGGGCAUGAUACCAGAACUGCACAGUGGCCUGUUUGUUUUCUCAGUCUCCUGCUCGAGAUCCCAACCAAGCUUAAGAUAUGCAGUCUGGCAGCAUCUUCAUUGCUAUAUUUUUAUUAAUGCUCUUGGCUUCCCCAGGCGAUGCCUACACAGCAGGGAAGCUGAUAAAGACUGAAGAGGACUGCAGUCUUGCUAAGGGCUUUUGUACAUCUGAACCGGAGUGCAAUACACCUUACCCCUCCCUGGGAUCCUGUGGGGGAAAUAACUUAUGUUGCUUGGCAUUUGGUGGGAAAUGAUGGAGAGAGACAUACCACAUCCAGCAACAACAAUGGCUUCCACUUAAGGAACGUGGAUUUACUGUCGCUUGGCCCUUAGAAAGUGCAAAAAUGAGACAGAGCUCCUAUUGCACAGAUAUUUUAUUUAAAACAAUGAAAACUGGACCCUAGUUUCAAUAAAUAAUGGAAUAUGUGUGUGGAGCUGUUUCUU
This 795-nucleotide long non-coding RNA is filed under the name Pogona vitticeps (central bearded dragon). Its description in RNAcentral is "lncRNA (ENSPVIG00000001550.1)". Lineage: Eukaryota; Metazoa; Chordata; Lepidosauria; Squamata; Agamidae. The record is from RNAcentral.